GAUGAACGCUGGCGGCGUGCUUAACACAUGCAAGUCGAACGGAAAGGCUCCUGCUUGCAGGGGUACUCGAGUGGCGAACGGGUGAGUAACACGUGGGUGAUCUGCCCUGCACUUCGGGAUAAGCCUGGGAAACUGGGUCUAAUACCGGAUAGGACGAUGGUUUGGAUGCCAUUGUGGAAAGUUUUUUCGGUGUGGGAUGAGCUCGCGGCCUAUCAGCUUGUUGGUGGGGUAAUGGCUACCAAGGCGUCGACGGGUAGCCGGCCUGAGAGGGUGUACGGCCACAUUGGGACUGAGAUACGGCCCAGACUCCUACGGGAGGCAGCAGUGGGGAAUAUUGCACAAUGGGCGCAAGCCUGAUGCAGCGACGCCGCGUGGGGGAUGACGGCCUUCGGGUUGUAAACUCCUUUCGCUAGGGACGAAGCGCAAGUGACGGUACCUGGAGAAGAAGCACCGGCUAACUACGUG
This 465-nucleotide ribosomal RNA is filed under the name uncultured bacterium. Its description in RNAcentral is "partial 16S ribosomal RNA". It matches the Rfam family "Bacterial small subunit ribosomal RNA", at positions 28 to 507 of the family's 1533-position model. The record is from RNAcentral.